Molecule: ribosomal RNA, 495 nt
Filed under: uncultured bacterium
Lineage: Bacteria
Description: partial 16S ribosomal RNA
Rfam family: Bacterial small subunit ribosomal RNA
Source: RNAcentral
GACGAACGCUGGCGGCGUGCCUAAUACAUGCAAGUAGAACGCUGAAGGAGGAGCUUGCUUCUCUGGAUGAGUUGCGAACGGGUGAGUAACGCGUAGGUAACCUGCCUGGUAGCGGGGGAUAACUAUUGGAAACGAUAGCUAAUACCGCAUAAGAGUAGAUGUUGCAUGACAUUUGCUUAAAAGGUGCAAUUGCAUCGCUACCAGAUGGACCUGCGUUGUAUUAGCUAGUUGGUGGGGUAACGGCUCACCAAGGCGACGAUACAUAGCCGACCUGAGAGGGUGAUCGGCCACACUGGGACUGAGACACGGCCCAGACUCCUACGGGAGGCAGCAGUAGGGAAUCUUCGGCAAUGGACGGAAGUCUGACCGAGCAACGCCGCGUGAGUGAGGAAGGUUUUCGGAUCGUAAAGCUCUGUUGUAAGAGAAGAACGAGUGUGAGAGUGGAAAGUUCACACUGUGACGGUAUCUUACCAGAAAGGGACGGCUAACUACGUG